AUGCUGUCACGACCCACACCUG
Molecule: unclassified non-coding RNA, 22 nt
Filed under: Mus musculus (house mouse)
Lineage: Eukaryota; Metazoa; Chordata; Mammalia; Rodentia; Muridae
Description: oocyte_clustered_small_RNA2713
Source: RNAcentral